RNAcentral lists this long non-coding RNA (364 nucleotides) under Cicer arietinum (chickpea). RNAcentral describes it as "long non-coding RNA (CARI_LNC002250)". The record is from RNAcentral. Lineage: Eukaryota; Viridiplantae; Streptophyta; Magnoliopsida; Fabales; Fabaceae.
UUACUUAACCUUCUCUCUAUUUUCUUAUCUUCUUUUUUCAUGUGUGAGAGAUUUUCCAACACUAGAAUACAAGCAUGAGUUGCAACGGUUGCAGAGUUCUUCGAAAGGGUUGCAGUGACUCAUGUAUUUUGCGACCUUGUUUACAAUGGAUCGAAACCCCUGAAGCUCAAGGCCACGCCACUGUUUUCGUAGCCAAAUUCUUUGGUCGCGCUGGUCUCAUGUCUUUCAUUUCCAACGUCCCUGAAACUCAAAGACCAGGUAAUUAAUUCAUUAAUUAAUUAUUCAAUUUAAUUCAUUUUAAACUUUAAUUACUAACUCUGGUAAUAAUGCUUCUUUGUUUGUUCUCUAUGCAGCUCUCUUUCAG